Molecule: ribosomal RNA, 439 nt
Filed under: uncultured bacterium
Lineage: Bacteria
Description: partial 16S ribosomal RNA
Rfam family: Bacterial small subunit ribosomal RNA
Source: RNAcentral
CCUACGGGAGGCAGCAGUAAGGAAUCUUCCGCAAUGGGCGAAAGCCUGACGGAGCAACGCCGCGUGGGCGAUGAAGGCCUUCGGGUCGUAAAGCCCUUUUCUGUGGGACGAUAAUGACGGUACCACAGGAAUAAGCCACGGCUAACUACGUGCCAGCAGCCGCGGUAAUACGUAGGUGGCUAGCGUUAUCCGGAUUCACUGGGCGUAAAGAGCGCGUAGGCGGUGUGCUAAGUUGGACGUGAAAGCCCCCGGCGUAACCAGGGGAGUUCGUCCAUUACUGGUGCACUUGAGGGUGGACGGGGAAAGCGGAAUUCCCGGUGUAGUGGUGAAAUGCGUAGAUAUCGGGAGGAACACCAGUGGCGAAGGCGGCCUUCUGGGCCUACCCUGACGCUGAGGCGCGAAAGCGUGGGAAGCAAACCGGAUUAGAUCCCCGGGUAGU